RNAcentral lists this ribosomal RNA (319 nucleotides) under uncultured Bacillota bacterium. RNAcentral describes it as "bacterial SSU rRNA". It matches the Rfam family "Bacterial small subunit ribosomal RNA", at positions 28 to 351 of the family's 1533-position model. Lineage: Bacteria; Bacillati; Bacillota. The record is from RNAcentral.
GACGAACGCUGGCGGCGUGCCUAAUACAUGCAAGUCGUGCGAGGCUCUUCGGAGUCGAGCGGCGGACGGGUGAGUAACACGUGGGCAACCUGCCCGACAGACCGGGAUAACGCUUGGAAACGAGUGCUAAUACCGGAUACGCUCUUGCUUCGCAUGAAGCGGGAGGGAAAGUUGCUUUUGCAGCACUGUCGGAUGGGCCCGCGGCGCAUUAGCUAGUUGGUGAGGUAACGGCUCACCAAGGCGACGAUGCGUAGCCGACCUGAGAGGGUGACCGGCCACACUGGGACUGAGACACGGCCCAGACUCCUACGGGAGGCAG